GAGUUUGAUCAUGGCUCAGGAUGAACGCUGGCGGUAUGCCUUACACAUGCAAGUCGUACGGAAGUUUUUAACUUCAGUGGCGGACGGGUGAGUAACACGUAAGAAUUUACCUUUAGGAAGAGGAUAACAGCCGGAAACAGCUGCUAAUACUCUAUAUGCUACAAGUGAAAUGGGGCAACCCGCCUAAAGAGAAGCUUGCGGCUGAUUAGCUUGUUGGUAAGGUAAAAGCUUACCAAGGCGACGAUCAGUAUCUGGUUUGAGAGGAUGAUCAGACACACUGGAACUGAGACACGGUCCAGACUCUUACGGGAGGCAGCAGUGGGGAAUUUUCCGCAAUGGGCGAAAGCCUGACGGAGCAAUACCGCGUGAGGGAUGACUGCCUAUGGGUUGUAAACCUCUUUUUUCAGGGAGGAAGUAAG
Molecule: ribosomal RNA, 419 nt
Filed under: uncultured bacterium
Lineage: Bacteria
Description: bacterial SSU rRNA
Rfam family: Bacterial small subunit ribosomal RNA
Source: RNAcentral